GACGAGCUCUCCAAACGUUAUUCGGUAUCACUGGGCUUAAAGAGUUCGUAGGCGGUCUGGUAGGUGAGGUGUGAAAUCCCCCGGCUCAACCGGGGAACUGCGCUUCAAACCACCGGACUUGAGGGAGACAGAGGUGGGCGGAACAGAUGGUGGAGCGGUGAAAUGCGUUGAUAUCAUCUGGAACACCGGUGGCGAAAGCGGCCCACUGGGUCUUUUCUGACGCUGAGGAACGAAAGCUAGGGUAGCGAACGGGAUUAGAAACCGAGUAGUCC
This 272-nucleotide ribosomal RNA is filed under the name uncultured prokaryote. RNAcentral describes it as "partial 16S ribosomal RNA". It matches the Rfam family "Bacterial small subunit ribosomal RNA", at positions 524 to 796 of the family's 1533-position model. The record is from RNAcentral.